AUCACUUCUUGUCCUUUUGGCUAAGGUGAAAUGCGAUUACCUUUUCUUCUCAGUUUAGUAUCAGACACAUCCUCUAUUUGAGGACAACAUACUAAAUGGACUUUUGGAACUAGACAGAAUGGAAACUUUCUCUGACUACUCCAUUAAGUGAUCUGCUAUUGUAGCAACUCUGGGGAACCCUUCUUAGUGGGGGUAUGGACUU
Mus spicilegus (steppe mouse) is the source of this 202-nucleotide small nuclear RNA. Its record names the gene U2. It matches the Rfam family "U2 spliceosomal RNA". Rfam says of the family: U2 is a small nuclear RNA (snRNA) component of the spliceosome (involved in pre-mRNA splicing). Complementary binding between U2 snRNA (in an area lying towards the 5' end but 3' to hairpin I) and the branchpoint sequence (BPS) of the intron results the bulging out of an unpaired adenosine, on the BPS, which initiates a nucleophilic attack at the intronic 5' splice site, thus starting the first of two transesterification reactions that mediate splicing. Lineage: Eukaryota; Metazoa; Chordata; Mammalia; Rodentia; Muridae. The record is from Ensembl.